AUCCAGCAGCAGCUCUGCCACCCUCAUCUGAUCCUCCUGUUCGAAGAUGGAAUUCUGGGAUGGAAGAGAGAGGCACGCUUCACAGUACACUAAAUACAGAACUCUUCCUGGAUGGAGCUCCUCUUCCCACACAUAUCCCAACAGGACUCCCACAGCUCACUUCCCAGAGUCCAGAUCAGAGAGUCCGGGCUGGAUGGGUGAACCAAGCAGUUGGUUGAUACCAGGUUCCAGAACUGGUGGAA
Long non-coding RNA from Colossoma macropomum (tambaqui), 242 nucleotides. RefSeq lists it as uncharacterized. The transcript is spliced from 3 exons. The record is from RefSeq and is a predicted model, not a curated record. Lineage: Eukaryota; Metazoa; Chordata; Actinopteri; Characiformes; Serrasalmidae.